This 1120-nucleotide long non-coding RNA is filed under the name Gopherus agassizii (Agassiz's desert tortoise). Its description in RNAcentral is "lncRNA (ENSGAGG00000001493.1)". The record is from RNAcentral. Lineage: Eukaryota; Metazoa; Chordata; Testudines; Testudinidae.
UGGAAGGGCAGGGAGGGAGGGACGGGAGAGCUCAGGUUCCACCCCACCAGGCAGAGGGGGCGGAUGACAGAGGCAGGAUGGUUUAUAGGGAGCUGGAGCUCAGGAAGCUGCAUCCCAGCUGCAGAGAUUGCUUAAUUCCAGCUGCAGGACACGCCAAGCCCAGUGACCAUGCGGCCCGCAGUAUCCAUCGCUCUGAUCCUCCUGGCUCUGACGGUCCUGGCAGACUCUGCUCAGGUUGAACCGACAGAGCCAACCCUGACCCAAAAGUUUGAGAAGUUCCAGAACAAGCUGCAGGCCUUUGCUGAGAGCAUUGCAGAUAAAACCAAAGCCGCCUUCCAAGAACUGCAUCACAGGGAGUUCAGCGAAAAGGCCCGGUGAGUCACUGGGGCCUCAGUGGGGAGGCAGGGCUCCUGCAGAAACCAGUGACACUGAGACUGUCCCCUGGAGCUAAGCAGAGGUGGGGCCUGUUCCAGGAUUGGCUGGGAGACUGAAGUGGUGCACUUAGGAUGCUUCAGGCAGGGUUUGUACUGAGGGAGGGAAGGUGCUGCUGAAGACCCUCUUCCCAGCCCCACCCACACAAUCAGCUAUAGUCAAUUGUGCAGUGCCAUGACCCCCUUCUCUGGUCUCACAUUGUAAAUGAUGUUGACAUUUAAAUUAGCAUUGCUGAGCAUCAGAGUUAACUCCUCAGUGAGAUCCCCUUCAGGCUCUCUGCAGACUCAGGCAGAUGUCACUGCAUUGGUCAUGCUUGGGACAGAUCCCCUCUCUUGGAGCUGAGGCAAGGACUGGCACUCACUGUGUGUGUGCAGCACCUGGCACAACAGGAGCACCUGAUCUCGGACAGGGCCGUGCGGUGCUGGCAGGAUGGGAGCUUGAUCUUGGUCAGGGUCUGUGCAGCCCUUGGUGGCACUAUGGGGCCCAAUAGCUAGUGAAAUAUGAAUAGUGUAUCAUGUGAAGCAAUCCCAUGGGAAGUGCUGUGAAAUCCUGCUGGCUGAAAGGCGCAGCAGAUAAACUAGUAUGAUUUAGUUCACAGUUGGGACUGAGCUGGCCUCAUUAUCCUCACAGCUCCCAGGAGAAGUGGCUACACUAGAAAGGAAACACCCAUUCCUUAGCCAUGUGUGAA